CUACGGAGGGUGCAAGCGUUAUCCGGAAUCAUUGGGUUUAAAGGGUCCGCAGGCGGAUUAAUAAGUCAGUGGUGAAAUCCUCUCGCUCAACGAGAGAACUGCCAUUGAAACUGUUAGUCUUGAAUUCGGUCGAAGUAGGCGGAAUGUGUCAUGUAGCGGUGAAAUGCAUAGAUAUGACACAGAACACCGAUAGCGAAGGCAGCUUACUAGACCUGGAUUGACGCUCAUGGACGAAAGCGUGGGGAGCGAACAGGAUUAGAAACCCGAGUAGUCC
This 274-nucleotide ribosomal RNA is filed under the name uncultured bacterium. RNAcentral describes it as "partial 16S ribosomal RNA". It matches the Rfam family "Bacterial small subunit ribosomal RNA", at positions 523 to 796 of the family's 1533-position model. The record is from RNAcentral.